GACGAACGCUGGCGGCGUGCUUAACACAUGCAAGUCGAACGGAAAGGCCCGGCUUUUGUGGGGGGCUGGGGGGGCUAACGGGGGAGAAACACGUGAGUCACCUGCGCUUGCCUUUGGGAUAACUUCAGUAAACUGGGGCUAAUAGCGGAUAUUAGCGCCUGCUGCGUGGGGGGGGUUGGAAAGUGUCGGCGGUUGGGGAUGGACUCGCGGCUUAUCAGCUUGUUGGUGGGGUAGUGGCUUACGAAGGCUUUGACGGGUAGCCGGCCUGGGAGGGUGACCGGCCACAUGGGGCCUGAGACACGGCCCAGCCUCCGACGGGAGGCAGGAGUGGUGAACAGUGCACAGUGGGCGGAACGCUGAGGCAGCAACGCCGGGCGUGGGAUGACGGCCUUCUGGUGGUAAACCGCUUUCGCCUGGGAUGAAGCGUUAGUGACGGUAACGGGAAAAGAAGCACCGGCUAACUACGUG
This 468-nucleotide ribosomal RNA is filed under the name uncultured bacterium. Its description in RNAcentral is "partial 16S ribosomal RNA". It matches the Rfam family "Bacterial small subunit ribosomal RNA", at positions 28 to 507 of the family's 1533-position model. The record is from RNAcentral.